RNAcentral lists this ribosomal RNA (481 nucleotides) under uncultured bacterium. RNAcentral describes it as "partial 16S ribosomal RNA". It matches the Rfam family "Bacterial small subunit ribosomal RNA", at positions 28 to 507 of the family's 1533-position model. The record is from RNAcentral.
GAUGAACGCUGGCGGCGUGCUUAACACAUGCAAGUCGAACGAAGCACUUUAUUUGAUUUCCUUCGGGACUGAUUAUUUUGUGACUGAGUGGCGGACGGGUGAGUAACGCGUGGGUAACCUGCCUUGUACAGGGGGAUAACAGUUGGAAACGGCUGCUAAUACCGCAUAAGCGCACAGCAUCGCAUGAUGCAGUGUGAAAAACUCCGGUGGUAUAAGAUGGACCCGCGUUGGAUUAGCUAGUUGGUGAGGUAACGGCCCACCAAGGCGACGAUCCAUAGCCGACCUGAGAGGGUGACCGGCCACAUUGGGAAUGAGACACGGCCCAAACUCCUACGGGAGGCAGCAGUGGGGAAUAUUGCACAAUGGGCGAAAGCCUGAUGCAGCGACGCCGCGUGAGCGAAGAAGUAUUUCGGUAUGUAAAGCUCUAUCAGCAGGGAAGAUAAUGACGGUACCUGACUAAGAAGCACCGGCUAAAUACGUG